UACGGGGGGGGGCAAGCGUUGUUCGGAAUUACUGGGCGUAAAGGGCUCGUAGGUGGCCAACUAAGUCGGACGUGAAAUCCCUCAGCUUAACUGGGGAACUGCGUCCGAUACUGGAUGGCUUGAGUUUGGGAGAGGGAUGCGGAAUUCCAGGUGUAGCGGUGAAAUGCGUAGAUAUCGGGAGGAACACCUGCGGUGUAGACGGCUUACUGGACCAUAACUGACGCUGAGGCACGAAAGCGUGGGUAGCAAACAGG
RNAcentral lists this ribosomal RNA (254 nucleotides) under uncultured bacterium. Its description in RNAcentral is "partial 16S ribosomal RNA". It matches the Rfam family "Bacterial small subunit ribosomal RNA", at positions 524 to 776 of the family's 1533-position model. The record is from RNAcentral.